This 638-nucleotide long non-coding RNA is filed under the name Elaeis guineensis (African oil palm). RNAcentral's name for it is "long non-coding RNA (EGUI_LNC012266)". The record is from RNAcentral. Lineage: Eukaryota; Viridiplantae; Streptophyta; Magnoliopsida; Arecales; Arecaceae.
UUGAGAGGACUUCUUUUUAAAAAAAUUAAUUGAGCACAUUAAGAAAUUCUACAAUCACUCUCAAACACAUCAUUAGUAAAUAUAAUUUAUACUCAAAUACCUUUGACAUCAUCAAAAUCAAUUCUAUGACUAACAAAGAUGGUGCAAAAGUUUGUUAUUAGAGGCUCUAAUUAUAGAUUCAUUACUGCUAGCGACAGUCAUGCAUAUAAUAUUUCUAUCUUUAGAGUAGAGUUGAGGGCAGCAUGGAAAAGCAUCAGUUAUGUAAAAUUCAUCCUUGGGGCCGAUCUCAUUUACCUUGAGGGUGACUCAACGAUAGUGAUUGGAUGGACAAUGAGAUAGAUACAAUUAAUGGAAGGAUACUUUGUUACUAUAGAACAUCUGGAAGAUAGCGAGGAGUUGUGCCUUUUUCUGGGCCACUCAUGUUUAUCGUGAGGCAAAUAGAAUGGUAGUUUGGGUGUGAAUAUUGGAUGAUAAUUUUCACAACUACUUAAUAAAAAGAGUACAAUCAAAAUUUUGUUAAUUUUAAAAUACAAAGAUCGCUCUGUUUAUCCAUUUUAUAAAAUUGCCACCCAUUGACUAACUACAUUGGUAUCUAAGAAAUCUUCAUUCCUCUCCAAAAUAAAUCUUGACAUCUAAGA